UUUUUCCCAGGUUUGUAAUUCUGAUCUACAAGUUAAGGGUGCUAUCUUUUUAGAAUGAAUACCUCCAUUAGUGGAAAGGGAACCUCAGGUUUACUAGCUAUGCAUAUUUAGCAAUGAUGUUAUGUCAUGUGGUGGUUAAUACAGGGAUACUAAGAAUAGAUGUCUUUUUAGGUAUAUGACAUGAUUGAACCUGGAGGGGAUUGGAGAUCUCAGAGAGAAACUCCUGGAAGUUCUGGUGAAGCUGAGGGAGGAUCAGUGGGAAGUUGAAGAGUUGGAAGCUGAUGUCAGAGAAAAGAGAACUUCCUGGAAGGAUAUGAAUGGCUUCAUGGAAAAAUAUAUGAGGGAGACCAGAGAUGGUCCUUCUGUGC
This 368-nucleotide long non-coding RNA is filed under the name Equus caballus (horse). RNAcentral's name for it is "lncRNA (ENSECAG00000054807.1)". The record is from RNAcentral. Lineage: Eukaryota; Metazoa; Chordata; Mammalia; Perissodactyla; Equidae.